AAAUGUGGCUGCACCUUCUUGUCAGCAAUCGAUCUCUUCAUAUCUCAGAAGCUAAACAAGGCCAGGCCUGGUUAGUAGUUGGAUGGGAGUCCGCUGGGAAUAUCAGGUGCCACAGUGG
This 118-nucleotide ribosomal RNA is filed under the name Periophthalmus magnuspinnatus. Lineage: Eukaryota; Metazoa; Chordata; Actinopteri; Gobiiformes; Gobiidae. The record is from RNAcentral.